GUGAAUCAUCGAAUCUUUGAACGCACAUUGCGCCCCUUGGCAUUCCGGGGGGCAUGCCUGUUCGAGCGUCAUUAAUACCAAUCUAGCCCGGCUAGGUGUUGGGCCUCGCCGUCUGGCGGGCCUUAAAAUCAGUGGCGGUGCUCCUCAGCUCUACGCGUAGUAAUUCUUCUCGCUAUAGGGCCUGUGGAGAUGCUUGCCAGCAACCCCAAAUUUUUCAGGUUGACCUCGGAUCAGGUAGGGAUACCCGCUGAACUUAAGCAUAUCAAUAAGCGGAGGA
RNAcentral lists this unclassified non-coding RNA (277 nucleotides) under Lachnum sp. Its description in RNAcentral is "partial contains 5.8S ribosomal RNA, internal transcribed spacer 2, and large subunit ribosomal RNA". The stretch from base 1 to 71 matches the Rfam family "5.8S ribosomal RNA", at positions 84 to 154 of the family's 154-position model. Lineage: Eukaryota; Fungi; Ascomycota; Leotiomycetes; Helotiales; Lachnaceae. The record is from RNAcentral.